This 253-nucleotide ribosomal RNA is filed under the name uncultured bacterium. RNAcentral describes it as "partial 16S ribosomal RNA". It matches the Rfam family "Bacterial small subunit ribosomal RNA", at positions 524 to 776 of the family's 1533-position model. The record is from RNAcentral.
UACGGGGGGGGCAAGCGUUGUUCGGAAUUACUGGGCGUAAAGGGCUCGUAGGCGGCCAACUAAGUCAGACGUGAAAUCCCCCGGCUUAACCAGGGAACUGCGUCUGAUACUGGAUGGCUUGAGUUUGGGAGAGGGAUGCGGAAUUCCUGGUGUAGCGGUGGAAUGCGCAGAUAUCAGGAGGAACACCGGUGGCGAAGGCGGGAUCCUGGGCCAGUACUGACGCUGAGGAGCGAAAGCGUGGGGAGCAAACAGG